This 433-nucleotide ribosomal RNA is filed under the name uncultured bacterium. Its description in RNAcentral is "partial 16S ribosomal RNA". It matches the Rfam family "Bacterial small subunit ribosomal RNA", at positions 39 to 507 of the family's 1533-position model. The record is from RNAcentral.
GGGGGGGGGGGGGGGGGGGGGGGGCGGGGGCAGGGCGGGCGGGGCGGGGGGGGGUGGGGGCGCAGGGGUGGGUGACGCGGGUGAGCCUGCCCUUGGGUGCUGGAUGACUCCCGGGAUGGGGCGCUAAUCCCGGAGGAGGUCCUCGGACCCAAGAGUGAUGGGCUUCGGCUGGGGCGGCGUGGGGCUAGCUAGUUGGUCGGCGAAAAGCCGACCAUCGCGACGAUCCAUAGCUGGCCUGAGAGGGUGAUCAGCCACGCUGGGACUGAGACACUGCCCAGACUCGUACGGGAGGCAGAAGUGGGGAAUAUUGGACAAUGGGGGAGAGCGUGAUCCAGCAAUGCCGCGUGAGUGAUGAAGGCCUUAGGGUUGUAAAGCUCUGUUACCCGGGAUGAUAAUGACAGUACCGUGAGAAUAAGCUCCGGCUAACUCCGUG